Molecule: long non-coding RNA, 159 nt
Organism: Esox lucius (northern pike)
Lineage: Eukaryota; Metazoa; Chordata; Actinopteri; Esociformes; Esocidae
Exons: 3
Source: RefSeq, a predicted model, not a curated record
CAGAUAUGAAGCAUCUCCACAGCAUGACGCUUCCACCACCAAAGUUCACGUCUCCUCCCCGGCUGGGCCUGUGUGAUGUGAUGCAGCUUCAACUCCCUGCCGGCUGUAGACAAGACAGGGAACGAGUUACAUCGAUUCUGAUGGAGUGGUGUUGCGCGG